GCGGAUGUGGUGAAAUGGCAGACACGCUAGAUUUAGGUUCUAGUGAGAAUUCUCAUGAGGGUUCAAGUCCCUCCAUCCGCA
Molecule: transfer RNA, 81 nt
Filed under: Compsopogon caeruleus
Lineage: Eukaryota; Rhodophyta; Compsopogonophyceae; Compsopogonales; Compsopogonaceae
Description: tRNA-Leu
Rfam family: tRNA
About the family: Transfer RNA (tRNA) molecules are approximately 80 nucleotides in length. Their secondary structure includes four short double-helical elements and three loops (D, anti-codon, and T loops).
Source: RNAcentral